RNAcentral lists this ribosomal RNA (305 nucleotides) under uncultured bacterium. Its description in RNAcentral is "bacterial SSU rRNA". It matches the Rfam family "Bacterial small subunit ribosomal RNA", at positions 331 to 636 of the family's 1533-position model. The record is from RNAcentral.
CUUGACCUACGGGAGGCAGCAGUGAGGAAUAUUGGUCAAUGGCCGAGAGGCUGAACCAGCCAAGUCGCGUGAGGGAUGACGGCCCUACGGGUUGUAAACCUCUUUUGUCGGGGAGCAAAGAGAGUCACGUGUGGCUCAUUGAGAGUACCCGAAGAAAAAGCAUCGGCUAACUCCGUGCUAGCAGCCGCGGUAAUACGGAGGAUGCGAGCGUUAUCCGGAUUUAUUGGGUUUAAAGGGUGCGCAGGCGGAGGUGCAAGUCAGUGGUCAAAUUGCGGGGCUCAACCCCGUACUGCCGUUGAACCUGC